RNAcentral lists this ribosomal RNA (497 nucleotides) under uncultured bacterium. RNAcentral describes it as "partial 16S ribosomal RNA". It matches the Rfam family "Bacterial small subunit ribosomal RNA", at positions 28 to 507 of the family's 1533-position model. The record is from RNAcentral.
GAUGAACGCUGGCGGCGUGCCUAAUACAUGCAAGUCGAGCGAACGGACGAGAAGCUUGCUUUUCUGAUGUUAGCGGCGGACGGGUGAGUAACACGUGGAUAACCUACCUAUAAGACUGGGAUAACUUCGGGAAACCGGAGCUAAUACCGGAUAAUAUUUUGAACCGCAUGGUUCAAAAGUGAAAGACGGUCUUGCUGUCACUUAUAGAUGGAUCCGCGCUGCAUUAGCUAGUUGGUAAGGUAACGGCUUGCCAAGGCAACGAUGCAUAGCCGACCUGAGAGGGUGAUCGGCCACACUGGAACUGAGACACGGUCCAGACUCCUACGGGAGGCAGCAGUAGGGAAUCUUCCGCAAUGGGCGAAAGCCUGACGGAGCAACGCCGCGUGAGUGAUGAAGGUCUUCGGAUCGUAAAACUCUGUUAUUAGGGAAGAACAUAUGUGUAAGUAACUGUGCACAUCUUGACGGCACCUAAUCAGAAAGCCACGGCUAACUACGUG